GGGUCGUUAGCUCAGUUGGUAGAGCAGUUGACUUUUAAUCAAUAGGUCGCAGGUUCGAAUCCUGCACGACCCACCA
Molecule: transfer RNA, 76 nt
Filed under: Escherichia coli
Lineage: Bacteria; Pseudomonadati; Pseudomonadota; Gammaproteobacteria; Enterobacterales; Enterobacteriaceae
Also listed under: 1 other name
Description: tRNA-Lys
Rfam family: tRNA
About the family: Transfer RNA (tRNA) molecules are approximately 80 nucleotides in length. Their secondary structure includes four short double-helical elements and three loops (D, anti-codon, and T loops).
Source: RNAcentral